This 406-nucleotide ribosomal RNA is filed under the name uncultured bacterium. Its description in RNAcentral is "partial 16S ribosomal RNA". It matches the Rfam family "Bacterial small subunit ribosomal RNA", at positions 29 to 526 of the family's 1533-position model. The record is from RNAcentral.
AUUGAACGCUGGCGGCAGGCUUAACCACUGCAAGUCGAGAGAGCGGCGGACGGGUGAGUAAUGUCUGGGAAACUGCCUGAUGGAGGGGGAAAACUAAUGGAAACGGUAGCUAAUAACGCAUAACAUCAGAUGUGCCCAGAUGGGAUUAGCUAGUAGGUGGGGUAAUGGCUAACCUAGGCGACGAUCCAUAGCUGGUCUGAGAGGAUGACCAGCCACACUGGAACGGAGACACGGUCCAGACUCCGACGGGAGGCAGGAGUGGGGAAUAUUGCACAAGGGGCGCAAGCCUGAUGCAGCCAUGCCGCGUGUGUGAAGAAGGCCUUCGGGUUGUAAAGCACUUUCAGCGAGGAGGCGUUACUCGCAGAAGAAGCACCGGCUAACUCCGUGCCAGCCGCCGCGGUAAUUC